AUAAAAAGAGCCAUUUGCCUCUCUUCUCUGUCCCUCGUUUAGAUUCUGGAUGAAGAUGCUCUUUCUGGUGUCUGCUGCUGUUUUGUCUCCUGUUCGCAGAUUGUCACUGUUGCCAGACUGCUCCUGAAACGACCUCCCCAGCCCUCCAAGGGAUGUUACUGCCUCUUCAUUCUGUCCCUGCCACCUAAAUGGACCUGCCAUCCAUCACUGAGCAGUUUCCCAGACUCAUAGUUGGUUUCAAGGUCCUUUGUUAAUUUUCUCCUGUCUCUCUUGAAUCACUACUUUGGGGGAAGUCAGCCUCCUUGUCAUGAAGAAACUCAGGCAGCCAAUGGAAACAAGCCCAUGGUGAGGAACUGAGGCCUGAGGACCGACACCUGGACUGUGAAUUUGUAAGAACCUGAGUCAGAACCAUCCAGAUAAAGCACACCUGGAUUCCUGAGCCUCA
Long non-coding RNA from Cervus elaphus (red deer), 445 nucleotides. RefSeq lists it as uncharacterized. Lineage: Eukaryota; Metazoa; Chordata; Mammalia; Artiodactyla; Cervidae. The transcript is spliced from 3 exons. The record is from RefSeq and is a predicted model, not a curated record.